Molecule: ribosomal RNA, 253 nt
Filed under: uncultured bacterium
Lineage: Bacteria
Description: partial 16S ribosomal RNA
Rfam family: Bacterial small subunit ribosomal RNA
Source: RNAcentral
GACAGAGGUGCCGAGCGUUAAUCGGAAUUACUGGGCGUAAAGCGUGCGCAGGCGGUGAUGUAAGACAGAUGUGAAAGCCCCGGGCUCAACCUGGGAAUUGCAUUUGAGACUGCAUCGCUAGAAUUGUGGAGAGGUAAGUGGAAUUCCGAGUGUAGAGGUGAAAUUCGUAGAUAUUCGGAAGAACACCAGUGGCGAAGGCGACUUACUGGACACAUAUUGACGCUGAGGUGCGAAAGCGUGGGGAGCAAACAGG